This 244-nucleotide ribosomal RNA is filed under the name uncultured bacterium. Its description in RNAcentral is "partial small subunit ribosomal RNA". It matches the Rfam family "Bacterial small subunit ribosomal RNA", at positions 26 to 285 of the family's 1533-position model. The record is from RNAcentral.
AGGAUGAACGCUGGCGGCGUGCCUAACACAUGCAAGUCGCACGAGAAAGGGUAGCAAUACCUGAGUACAGUGGCGCACGGGUGAGUAACACGUGACUAACCUACCCUCGAGUGGGGAAUAACCUAGGGAAACCUGGGCUAAUACCGCAUAACACUUACGAGUCAAAGCAGCAAUGCGCUUGGGGAGGGGUCGCGGCCGAUUAGCUAGUUGGCGGGGUAAUGGCCCACCAAGGCAAUGAUCGGUA